ACGGGUGAGUAACGCGUGGAAAUCUACCCAGAUCUUCGGAACAACUGAGGGAAACUUCAGCUAAUACCGGAUACGCCCUACGGGGGAAGGAUUUAUCGGUUCUGGAUGAGCCCGCGUUGGAUUAGCUAGUUGGUGGGGUAAUGGCCUACCAAGGCGACGAUCCAUAGCUGGUCUGAGAGGAUGAUCAGCCACACUGGGACUGAGACACGGCCCAGACUCCUACGGGAGGCAGCAGUGGGGAAUAUUGGACAAUGGGCGAAAGCCUGAUCCAGCCAUGCCGCGUGAGUGAUGAAGGCCUUAGGGUUGUAAAGCUCUUUCAGUAGGGAAGAUAAUGACGGUACCUACAGAAGAAGCCCCGGCUAACUUCGUGCCAGCAGCCGCGGUAAUACGAAGGGGGCUAGCGUUGUUCGGAUUUACUGGGCGUAAAGCGCACGUAGGCGGAUCGUUAAGUCGGGGGUGAAAUCCUGGAGCUCAACUCCAGAACUGCCUUCGAUACUGGCGAUCUUGAGUCCGGAAGAGGUGAGUGGAACUCCUAGUGUAGAGGUGGAAUUCGUAGA
RNAcentral lists this ribosomal RNA (557 nucleotides) under uncultured Devosia sp. RNAcentral's name for it is "bacterial SSU rRNA". It matches the Rfam family "Bacterial small subunit ribosomal RNA", at positions 102 to 694 of the family's 1533-position model. The record is from RNAcentral. Lineage: Bacteria; Pseudomonadati; Pseudomonadota; Alphaproteobacteria; Hyphomicrobiales; Devosiaceae.